RNAcentral lists this ribosomal RNA (447 nucleotides) under uncultured bacterium. RNAcentral's name for it is "partial 16S ribosomal RNA". It matches the Rfam family "Bacterial small subunit ribosomal RNA", at positions 29 to 523 of the family's 1533-position model. The record is from RNAcentral.
AACGAACGCUGGCGGCAGGCCUAAUACAUGCAAGUCGAGGGGCCCGUAAGGGCACCGGCGCACGGGUGCGUAACGCGUGGGAAUAUACCCUUCACUACGGAACAACGUCGGGAAACUGACGCGAAUACCGUAUGAUGACUCCGGUCCAAAGAUUUAUCGGUGAAGGAUUAGCCCGCGUCUGAUGAGCUAGUUGGAGAGGUAACGGCUCAGCAAGGCGACGAUCAGUAGCUGGUCUGAGAGGAUGAUGAGCCACACUGGGACUGAGACACGGCCCAGACUCCUACGGGAGGCAGCAGUAAGGAAUAUUGGACAAUGGAGGAAACUCUGAUCCAGCCAUGCCGCGUGAGUGAAGAAGGCCUUCGGGUUGUAAAGCUCUUUUAAUCGUGAAGAUAAUGACGGUAGCGAUAGAAAAAGCUCCGGCUAAAUUCGUGCCAGCAGCCGCCGUAA